Molecule: ribosomal RNA, 431 nt
Filed under: uncultured bacterium
Lineage: Bacteria
Description: bacterial SSU rRNA
Rfam family: Bacterial small subunit ribosomal RNA
Source: RNAcentral
AACGCGAAGAACCUUACCACCUUUUGACAUGCCUGGACCGCCACAGAGAUGUGGUUUUCCCUUCGGGGACUGGGACACAGGUGCUGCAUGGCUGUCGUCAGCUCGUGUCGUGAGAUGUUGGGUUAAGUCCCGCAACGAGCGCAACCCUCGCGAUUAGUUGCCAUCAGGUUUGGCUGGGCACUCUAAUCGUACUGCCGGAGUUAAUCCGGAGGAAGGCGGGGAUGACGUCAAGUCCUCAUGGCCCUUACAAGGUGGGCUACACACGUGCUACAAUGGCGACUACAGAGGGCUGCAAUCCCGCGAGGGGGAGCCAAUCCCUAAAAGUCGUCUCAGUUCGGAUUGUUCUCUGCAACUCGAGAGCAUGAAGUUGGAAUCGCUAGUAAUCGCGGAUCAGCAUGCCGCGGUGAAUACGUUGGGUCUUGUACACACCG